Molecule: transfer RNA, 67 nt
Filed under: Anolis jacare
Lineage: Eukaryota; Metazoa; Chordata; Lepidosauria; Squamata; Anolidae
Description: tRNA-Trp
Rfam family: tRNA
About the family: Transfer RNA (tRNA) molecules are approximately 80 nucleotides in length. Their secondary structure includes four short double-helical elements and three loops (D, anti-codon, and T loops).
Source: RNAcentral
AGAAACUUAGGAUAACUUAAACCAUGAGCCUUCAAAGCUCAAAACAUGGGUCACCCCCAUAAUUUCU